AGGACGAACGCUGGCGGCGUGCUUAACACAUGCAAGUCGAACGGAAAGGCCCUGCUUUUGUGGGGUGCUCGAGUGGCGAACGGGUGAGUAACACGUGAGUAACCUGCCCUUGACUUUGGGAUAACUUCAGGAAACUGGGGCUAAUACCGGAUAGGAGCUCCUGCUGCAUGGUGGGGUUGGAAAGUUUCGGCGGUUGGGGAUGGACUCGCGGCUUAUCAGCUUGUUGGUGGGGUAGUGGCUUACCAAGGCUUUGACGGGUAGCCGGCCUGAGAGGGUGACCGGGCCACGACUUGGGACUGAGAUACGGCCCAGACUCCUACGGGAGGCAGCAGUGGGGAAUAUUGGCACAAUGGGCGGAAGCCUGACUGCAGCAACGCCGCGUGCGGGAUGACGGCCGUUCGGGUUGUAAACCGUCGUUUCGCCUGUGACGUAAGCGUGAGUGACGGUAAUAGGUAAAGAAGCACGGCGUAACUACGUGCCAGCACGCCGC
RNAcentral lists this ribosomal RNA (490 nucleotides) under uncultured soil bacterium. RNAcentral describes it as "bacterial SSU rRNA". It matches the Rfam family "Bacterial small subunit ribosomal RNA", at positions 26 to 518 of the family's 1533-position model. The record is from RNAcentral.